CAGGUUCGCCUAUGUUGUUCUUGUCUGUGAUGCAACGAAAGAAGGCGAACUACAAUUUGUCAAAGAAGACCCUGUAAACGAGUUCUAUUUUUAUUUGUAUUCUACACAUGCCUGUGCUAUACCACCGACACCUACAAGUCCGGGUACUGCAACAAGGACGUUUUGGACACCACCACCACCACCAGUUAGAACAAGCGCUGGACCACCUUCAACACCCUCACCAACAUCUUUACCAGUAAUUUUCAGCCAAAAGGCCGAGGUUAUUUUAUUGCUUUGUAUUUUGGUUGUGUUGACAAUUUUGUGUGGUUUGGUUAUUUUGGCAGUUUGUGUUUUUUCUGCAAGAUUUAAAUCAACCAACAAUGUGAAGGCAGAACUUGGCCAGUCUGCAAAUUACGGAACAAAAGAUGAAACGAAAAUACGCCUGAAAACCGAUUUUUAAAGGCUAUUUGGUUCUGUUUGUUUAUU
This is a long non-coding RNA of Patella vulgata (common limpet), 465 nucleotides long. RefSeq lists it as uncharacterized. Lineage: Eukaryota; Metazoa; Mollusca; Gastropoda; Patellidae. The transcript has 3 exons. The record is from RefSeq and is a predicted model, not a curated record.